GCUUUGUCAGUGUAAUGGUUCGCAUAUUUCCCUGUCGAGGAAAAGGAAGGAGUUCGAUUCUCCUACAGAGCGCCA
This 75-nucleotide transfer RNA is filed under the name bacterium. RNAcentral's name for it is "tRNA-Asp". It matches the Rfam family "tRNA". Rfam says of the family: Transfer RNA (tRNA) molecules are approximately 80 nucleotides in length. Their secondary structure includes four short double-helical elements and three loops (D, anti-codon, and T loops). Further hydrogen bonds mediate the characteristic L-shaped molecular structure. tRNAs have two regions of fundamental functional importance: the anti-codon, which is responsible for specific mRNA codon recognition, and the 3' end, to which the tRNAs corresponding amino acid is attached (by aminoacyl-tRNA synthetases). tRNAs cope with the degeneracy of the genetic code in two manners: having more than one tRNA (with a specific anti-codon) for a particular amino acid; and 'wobble' base-pairing, i.e. permitting non-standard base-pairing at the 3rd anti-codon position. The record is from RNAcentral.